Molecule: ribosomal RNA, 382 nt
Filed under: Lactifluus gerardii
Lineage: Eukaryota; Fungi; Basidiomycota; Agaricomycetes; Russulales; Russulaceae
Description: eukaryotic LSU rRNA
Rfam family: 5.8S ribosomal RNA (bases 1-105)
Source: RNAcentral
GAAAUGCGAUACGUAAUGUGAAUUGCAGAAUUCAGUGAAUCAUCGAAUCUUUGAACGCACCUUGCGCCCCUUGGUAUUCCGAGGGGCACACCCGUUUGAGUGUCGUGAAAUUCUCAACCUCCUCGGUUUCUUUUGGACGCCGAAGGAGGCUUGGACUUUGGAGGGCUUUGCUGGACUUGAAAGGCCAGCUCCUCUCAAAUGAAUUAGCGAGGUUCCCUUUGCCGAUCCUCGACGUGUGAUAAGAUGCUUCCACGUCUCGGUCUUUGGCUCUGUCACCUUUCGGGACCUGCUUCCAAUCGUCUCUUGACUGAGACAACGUUCGAGCUCGUCUCGACCACGUACCCUUGACCUCAAAUCGGGUGAGACUACCCGCUGAACUUAA